Long non-coding RNA from Nothobranchius furzeri (turquoise killifish), 998 nucleotides. RefSeq lists it as uncharacterized. NCBI's taxonomy places the organism in Eukaryota, Metazoa, Chordata, Actinopteri, Cyprinodontiformes, Nothobranchiidae. The record is from RefSeq and is a predicted model, not a curated record.
AGUAGAUUCUGCCAAUGACAGAGUAAAGGACAGCUGGAGAUAAACAAAAGGUCCAGUUUAGCACCGAUCUGACUGUUAAAGCCUGCUGUUUAGAUUCCAAAUGCUGUUUAAAGUCUUUUGAAGACACUGGCUUUCCUGAAUGAAGACCUCUCUUCUGAAUCACUGUCGGAGACAAUUUUACAUCCGAAACAACGUUGUUGAACCUCAAACCAAAGUAUGGAGGUGUUGAGUGGCCCCUGGGCUGAUCUGGCCUUGUUUCUGCAACGGACUGCUGCACUCUCAAAUGAGACAGACACGUUUCUUCCUCUCUGGCUGUUUGGAUUGCUGAUGUUUCUGUCUGUCUGUCUGCUGCUGCUUCAGCUGAUCGUCUUCCUCAGCUGGAAACUCAGACAUGCAGAGGAUGAUCUUUCUGGGUUACUGUGGAACAAAAGCGCCAUCCACCGGCAGCGAUUACAAAAUGAACGGUCUCAUUCAUGCACCUGACAGGAUAAAGACCCAGGAUGAUUUUUCUUGGUUUUUGCGGUGAGGUACUGAAAUGCACCAAAGACAUGAGAAAGACCUUCUGGGACGAGAGAGUGACGUCUUCAGCCACAACUCCUCCUCCUCCUCCUUCCUUUCUUCAGCUCCUCUUCUGGCAGUCGGUUCAUGUAGAAUGAUGAAGAUCGUUUGUUGUCAAGAGAGAAGAAACGCCACCGUAGGCCCUUCAGUGCUGGGGAAAGGGACAGAGAUCAGUCGGUAGUAGGGAUGGGUACCUUUGACAUUUGAAUCGAUUUGGUACUAAUUCCCGGUACCUAGGAAUCGAUACCGGUACUUAACGGUACCAAUUUUAGAUACUUUUGAGUGUUUAAUACUUUAAUUCUCUUUUAUAAUUAAAUAUAUAUUUUUCUCAAUAUAUAACCAUAUUUGAUAAAAAUCACGAUAAAAUACAAACAGUUGUAUGUUAUUUAAUAUCGUCCUUGUAGUUUUAUAAGCUGAUAAUUAAACUGAAGCAAACAUCU